UGGGGAAUAUUGGACAAUGGGCGAAAGCCUGAUCCAGCAAUGCCGCGUGAGUGAUGAAGGCCUUAGGGUUGUAAAGCUCUUUUACCCGGGAUGAUAAUGACAGUACCGGGAGAAUAAGCCCCGGCUAACUCCGUGCCAGCAGCCGCGGUAAUACGGAGGGGGCUAGCGUUGUUCGGAAUUACUGGGCGUAAAGCGCACGUAGGCGGCUUUGCAAGUCAGAGGUGAAAGCCCGGGGCUCAACCCCGGAAUUGCCUUUGAGACUGCAUCGCUAGAAUUGUGGAGAGGUAAGUGGAAUUCCGAGUGUAGAGGUGAAAUUCGUAGAUAUUCGGAAGAACACCAGUGGCGAAGGCGACUUACUGGACACAUAUUGACGCUGAGGUGCGAAAGCGUGGGGAGCAAACA
Molecule: ribosomal RNA, 402 nt
Filed under: uncultured Sphingomonas sp.
Lineage: Bacteria; Pseudomonadati; Pseudomonadota; Alphaproteobacteria; Sphingomonadales; Sphingomonadaceae
Description: bacterial SSU rRNA
Rfam family: Bacterial small subunit ribosomal RNA
Source: RNAcentral